Long non-coding RNA from Gallus gallus (chicken), 1779 nucleotides. RefSeq lists it as uncharacterized. Lineage: Eukaryota; Metazoa; Chordata; Aves; Galliformes; Phasianidae. The transcript is spliced from 2 exons. The record is from RefSeq and is a predicted model, not a curated record.
AGUGCAGGUUUGGAGGGGUCGCGGUGGCGGAGACAGGGGCACCUCUUUGCGCGUCGCUGAGACCGAGCUGAGAUUGGGAAUCUCUUGGUAGCACUUGUUAUUCCUAACCCAUGAUGUUAGGAACUUUUGCACAUUGUUGGAUUUAUCUGAAAAUGAUUAGUCUUGCAAAGUCUAGACAAAGGUAAAGAAUUGGUGAUAUUUUUUCAGAUGUCUUUGGACCCUGUAAUGAUUUGGCACUUGUUUUUGUUAAUAAGGGGGUAUUUACAGGGUGUUGUGGAUUUGUAGUAAACUAUUCUAGAUCUCUUAUUAGCAAACACUAAAUUUUCAAGUCUUGCUUUUACAUGUUUAUUAGCACAUAGAAGCCCCUGUACUUUUGUGCAUAAAGCCACCUUAUUUGCUUUACUUAAGGAUAACAUGCCAAUUUUGUGUUCACUAACUUUAGUACAGCUAUCAGUUAAACACUGCAGAAAAAUAUUCACUAUACAACUAGAGAAUAGGCUUCCAAAGGUAGUUACAAGUGUGUUAACAGUGUGAUUUCAUAUAUUUCCCAAAUAAAUGAAGUUACAGAACGCUGCUUAGUAAACUCAAGUGCUGAUAUUAAAUGUUUAGUGAACUAUUUUGUUACUUGGUGAAUGUUGUAUACUUGGGAAUACCAUUGUGUCAUGGUAAUCUUUUUCUGUAUUUUGCUUGGUAGACAACAAGAGAAUCAUGAUAUGCUAACAGUAUAUUGUUUUGAAAGUGAACUUUUUUCUUUUUUGCAGUUGAGCUACUGCUUUAGGGGAUAUUAAACAUUUACUGUCCUGCUUGCUCUUAACUCUUCCUUCCCUCUGAAGGUCAGAAAAUUCAGAUGAGAAAGGAAGCCACUUUCCCUCUUGUUUAAAUGAGAGGAAAAUGUUAUCAAGCACUAGAAACAAACUGACUAGAUGCCUACAGAUCUUCCAGUACAGUAGUCUCUUUUAAUAUCAGAGAACUGUGACUGUUGAAUUAUGGUCUUUGUUAAUCUCUUGUGGUAGAAAAUCCUAUUUACCUAGUUUGUUUAUCAUUAUGUGUUGAGUCACUUGACUUUAAAAGUCAUAGGAUAUUUAAAAAAUAAAACAAAACAUAUGGAAUAUAAUUAGUUUUGUACUAGUUAUAUAGUUUAUUUUCUGUUUUCAACUCCUAAACUCAGCUAUCAUCAGGCUCAUUUAAGUCUUUUGAGCUUAAAAAUAUGUAACACUUCAUAGUCAUUCCUGGUGCCUGAGCCUAUGUAAAAUGGGUAACUCAGGAUACUUAUUUAUAAUUCUACAAAUAAUAUGAUAUUCACUGUUCAGUUUGCAAAGAGCCUGAUCCCAAAUGAGCCCUCAGUGUGAAUCUAUUUUUCUGAUUUGUAACUCAGAAUUGCUUCUGAGUAGUAUUUCACAGGACAUCCAAUUGUUGUAAUUGCCGGCCAGUUGCAGAAUGAGGUCAAAACUUCAAUAGAUGACUUUUUUUUCUUCCUGUCAGCUCUAGUGCUUUGGACAACUUGAAGAGUAUUUCUUUCGGUGUGGUAAGUAUGCUGAAUUCUACUUAGAUGUAGACAAAAUUCAGACCUUUCAAGCUGUUUUGUGUUGUGACAAGUUACUGGUAAAAUGUCAAGUUAAAAAAUUGAGAUGUGGAAGACUGCUUUAUAUAUUAAGAAGUGAUUACAUUGAAGAAAUCUUGAAGAUUACUGUUUGGCAUGAUUUAACAACAGAACAGUGAAUGUGUUGUCACUUCAAUACUUGGCUUUGAAUAAAAGUUUGACUAAACUUGAAAAUUGAA